GAAUUGGAAAAGGCUUUCAAGCAGAAGUUCCAGAUUGGUCAGGUCCACUCAAUCAGAGGGAUGUUAAUACCAUUGGUGAACUACUGGAAAUGGGUACAUCAGAGUGUAUUAAUUUGCAUGAGUUUAAUGGUGACAAGUCUUCUGAACUUAGCUCAAUAGGUAAUUGGCUCCAGUGUAGAGAGGCUGUAGAAGGUGAUGGAAUCUGUGGAAAGUGGCGCAGG
This is a non-coding RNA of Carica papaya (papaya), 221 nucleotides long. The record is from RefSeq and is a predicted model, not a curated record. Lineage: Eukaryota; Viridiplantae; Streptophyta; Magnoliopsida; Brassicales; Caricaceae.